Long non-coding RNA from Momordica charantia (bitter melon), 354 nucleotides. RefSeq lists it as uncharacterized. NCBI's taxonomy places the organism in Eukaryota, Viridiplantae, Streptophyta, Magnoliopsida, Cucurbitales, Cucurbitaceae. The record is from RefSeq and is a predicted model, not a curated record.
CUAAUAGCUGCAUAGCUUCUGAUCUCCUCCAUCAGACCAUCACAAUCGUCGGACAAAAAAAUUAGGGUUUCGCCGCUCCAAACUGGAAAUUACGAUCAUCACCAUCACAAUCCUCUCUUCGAAUUCCGAAAAUAAUAUAUUCUAAUUUCCUCCACUGUGCCGGCGGUCACCAAAAACUCGGAAAUGAACAAGAUUGGAGCAGAUUAACGAGGUAAUUAAUUAAAAAGAUGAUGUUCUUGUUCUGAACCCAGCCACAGGUUGAGAAUAUAUUGUAAGCUAAUUAAUUUGCAUGCAUAUACCAAAUCCCACACACAGGACUGUUAAGAGGUAUGUUAUGUAAUUCCCAUUUUCAUC